RNAcentral lists this ribosomal RNA (505 nucleotides) under uncultured bacterium. Its description in RNAcentral is "partial 16S ribosomal RNA". It matches the Rfam family "Bacterial small subunit ribosomal RNA", at positions 28 to 507 of the family's 1533-position model. The record is from RNAcentral.
GACGAACGCUGGCGGCGUGCCUAAUACAUGCAAGUAGAACGCACAGUUUAUACUGUAGCUUGCUACACCAUAGACUGUGAGUUGCGAACGGGUGAGUAACGCGUAGGUAACCUGCCUGGUAGCGGGGGAUAACUAUUGGAAACGAUAGCUAAUACCGCAUAACAUUGAUUAUUGCAUGAUAAUUGAUUGAAAGAUGCUAUUGCAUCUCUACCAGAUGGACCUGCGUUGUAUUAGCUAGUAGGUGAGGUAACGGCUCACCUAGGCGACGAUACAUAGCCGACAUGAGAGGGUGAUCGGCCACACUGGGACGGAGACACGGCCCAGACUACUACGGGAGGCAGCAGUAGGGAAUCAUCGGCAAUGGACGAAAGACUGACCGAGCAACGCCGCGUGAAUGAAGAAGGGUUUCGGAUCGGAAAGCUCUGUUGUAAGAGAGGAACGGGUGUGAAAGUGGAAAGUUCACACUGUGACGGUAUCUUACCAGAAAGGGACGGCUAACUACGUG